UAACAGGUGUUGCAGAUUAACUUGUAUAUUGUCCUGAACAAUGAUACUCUUUGUUUUUAUUUUGCUUUUUUCUCUUGCAGGUGAUAUUUUUGGGAAUGUCAUCACACCGGUCUACAGUGAAGUAUACAGAACAGAAAAGGACAUUACAUCUCUCUCCUGUAACUACUCCUCAGCGGCGAGACUAUAUUGGUAUCGUCAAUAUCCCCAAUCGGCUCCUGAAUUUCUUUUAGUCAUUCUACAUGCUACUGGAAAUGUUUUACAGAAGUCUGAAGUUGUGGAACUAGAUCCUCGAUUCUCUGGAAAACUGAAUAAAGAGAAAACCCGCACGUAUCUUGAAAUCUCCUCUGCUAAAGUGACAGACUCUGCUCUGUACUACUGUGCCCUGGAGCCCACAGUGACAGGAAAACAAACAACACUGUACAAAAACCUUUCCUACACAGAGGGUAAAAUAUACCACAUUCAACUGCAUCACAGUCAAUCUGCAGAAAUAUGGGAAAUAAAAUAAAUAAAUAAAAAUAAAAUGCAACCUAAUGUUUCUGAUGUACAGUCCCAAUUUUGUUUGGUUGCUUAGAUUUUGUAUGUGCGGAUGGGUUUUAAAGCUGAGACUGAUUGUGCUGAAAAGCAACCAUUCCACAAGACUACUAAAGCAACACAUACUGGGGUUAGGUAUUAACUGUAAAUAAAAGCUCCAUGAUUUGUAAGCUAUGUAUGUGUUACCUAACUCCAAAAUCCUAAUGUAACCUAAUUAAGAAAAAAAUAAGUGACAAUAAUAACAGCAACAAUAGAA
Non-coding RNA from Cyprinus carpio (common carp), 787 nucleotides. The record is from the annotation of a RefSeq genome assembly. Lineage: Eukaryota; Metazoa; Chordata; Actinopteri; Cypriniformes; Cyprinidae.